Molecule: ribosomal RNA, 324 nt
Filed under: uncultured eukaryote
Lineage: Eukaryota
Description: partial 18S ribosomal RNA
Rfam family: Eukaryotic small subunit ribosomal RNA
Source: RNAcentral
CCCUUAGAUGUUCUGGGCCGCACGCGCGCUACACUGAAUGGAUCAACGUGUUUUCCCUUCCCGAGAGGGACGGGUAACCCGCUGAACCCCAUUCGUGGUAGGGAUCGGAGCUUGCAAUUGUUCUCCGUGAACCAGGAAUUCCCAGUAAGCGCAAGUCAUAAGCUUGCGUUGAUUACGUCCCUGCCCUUUGUACACACCGCCCGUCGCUACUACCGAUUGAACGUUUUAGUGAGGUAUUUGGACUGGACCUUCGGAGGUUCGCCGUCUGUUGGCUGCGGGAAGUUCGUUAAACCUUAUCAUUUAGAGGAAGGAGAAGUCGUAACA